This 501-nucleotide ribosomal RNA is filed under the name uncultured bacterium. RNAcentral's name for it is "partial 16S ribosomal RNA". It matches the Rfam family "Bacterial small subunit ribosomal RNA", at positions 30 to 523 of the family's 1533-position model. The record is from RNAcentral.
AUUGAACGCUGGCGGCAGGCUUAACACAUGCAAGUCGAGCGGGGAAGGGUAGCUUGCUACCUGACUUAGCGGCGGACGGGUGAGUAAUGCUUAGGCAUCUGCCUCUUAGUGGGGGACAACAUUACGAAAGGAAUGCUAAUACCGCAUACGCCCUACGGGGGAAAGCAGGGGAUCUUCGGACCUUGCGCUAAUAGAUGACCCUAAGGCAGAUUAGCUAGUUGGUGGGGUAAAGGCCUACCAAGGCGACGAACGGUAGCCGGGCUGAAAGGAUGGUCCGCCACACUGGGACUGAGACACGGCCCAGACUCCUACUGGGGGCAGCAGUGGGGAAUAUUAGACAAUGGGCGCAAGCCUGAUCCAGCCAUGCCGCGUGUGUGAAGAAGGCCUUUUGGUUGUAAAGCACUUUAAGCGAGGAGGAGACUACUGAGAUUAAUACUCUUGGAUAGUGGACGUUACUCGCAGAAUAAGCACCGGCUAACUCUGCGCCAGCCGCCGCGGUAA